RNAcentral lists this long non-coding RNA (465 nucleotides) under Gallus gallus (chicken). Lineage: Eukaryota; Metazoa; Chordata; Aves; Galliformes; Phasianidae. The record is from RNAcentral.
CAAGAUGUCUUCUACAAAUUCAUGGAUGGGAAUCGGCAGACCCAGCUUGACGGCGUCGACAGGCUGACGGAAAGGCCAAGCGAACUGGUGCUUCCACAGGGCUUUCAUCACCACUUUGUGCAGGUACUGCAGCUGGUUGGUGACCCGGCCGGGCUUUUUGGGGUUCGAGACCUCUGGCGGAGGGGGGUUCGCCUGGGGGGUCUGUAGGGCCGGCACCGAGGCCAUGGUGGGGCUCUCGAAGCCCUCGUAAAGCAGCGAGGGUUUGCGGAUGCGUUUGCCCGGGGUCGAUUCCGUCGCCAAACCCAUAAGCCCGGCAUUUCCCUCCCCCAGAAUCUUGCUCUGGGGAUUCACAUUCUGCAGCAUGCCGGCGGCUGCGUGCCCGGCCCUGGCUCCCGGCCUUCCUCCUCCACCUCCUCCUCCCGCCGCCGCCUCCUCCGACGUCCCCCCCACUUUGCCCACCGAGCA